Molecule: long non-coding RNA, 8977 nt
Organism: Rhipicephalus sanguineus (brown dog tick)
Lineage: Eukaryota; Metazoa; Arthropoda; Arachnida; Ixodida; Ixodidae
Exons: 2
Source: RefSeq, a predicted model, not a curated record
UACAUCAAGGAAGAUGAAUUCUACCAGCGAACCAUACGGGAACAGAGCAACAAUGAGAGACCGGCCAAGAAGAUCUGCUUUGGACCAUUUUCCUUCAAAGGGUCCAAGGUUCCAAAACGCCAGGCCUAGGCACUGAGAGAAGUGCAGCCCAUGCUGCCAUCUGUGAAAGAGCCCACCAUUCGCCAAAGCAGGAUCACCCAAAGCCACUGAAAGGUUGUUGGCCGGCAGUGCAGCCAUCACCUUUGAUGCAAAGCUGCCACUUGAGCGGCAAGAUGCUCCCUUUCCCCACAAGCUCCGCACUCACUAAGGCAGUGCUGGUCUCACUGCUUCUCACUGGAGCUGUGCAAGGAACAGUGCUGUGAGGCCCAAGCAAUAUCUGCUAAGGCUCUCAAGAGGUGCCUCACAGCUACAUUUCCAAAGCCUGUACAUACUGCAGCCACAUGCUUUUUAAAGUGUUUAUUUUUUCUUCUCUGCUGUUUUUGAAGCUGUGUUUCAGAUGUGUGUGGUUGUUUCAUUUCUCGCCCAUCAAGUGUGCUGUGCUGGGUGCCAGCUUAUUUAAUUCCAGGGAUUCAUGUUCAUCUGCUUGAAUAAAUGCCACACUGAUCUCUAAGAAGCAGUGAUUGGUAACAAGAAAGAAAAAGAAUGAAAAACUUACUGACUGCCAUUACAUUUGUACAUAUGAUGAGUAGGUUGGUCGAAUUUGACUAUAGCCAUCAAAUUCCUGGAUGCCCCACACUGCCUCUCAUCUGGCAAGGUGCAGAUGAAUGGAAAAAAUGACUUUGAGUACAGGUCUCUGACUGCAUAACAUCACAACUGAAUGCCUGAGCUCAUAUUGUGCAACAAGCCUCCACCGAGCUAAAGAUUGUUAACAUACACUCUGUUCUAGGCUUUUAAGGCUGCAGCCAAGGAUAGGUAUUAGAAUGAAAUAAAAACCAGUUUUCAAGCUACAGAUUGACCAUAACUGAGGACAGAACGAGUAAGUAAGGAAAAGCACUGACUUCCAAUUCAAUUUUUUUUGUUGUUUUUUUUUUUUCAGAAGGACACUUGUACCAUGUGUUCCUCAGUAAUGCAAUUUAGGACAUAUCUGAAGCGACUAGGACAGUGUAUGGUGUAAACGUUGUUAAAAUCCACACACCUAAAAUAAAUGCCAGAAUUCCUCUGGCAUUUAGAGAGCAAUUCUGCUCUCUAAAUGCUUAUAACUUGUGCAUGGCUAAUGCAAAUUAGCCAAGAUAAGUGGUUCAUUAAAACAAUUACCUUUAAAUAUACCAUUUGUAUAGUUGAAUACAAUUAAAUAGAAUGAAGUUUGCAUGUUAUGUUUCCACAGGUUUGGGGGGAUGUUUGGAUCACAAAACAUUCAGAAAAGGGAGAAUCAUCGCAUUACAUUGCACUGAGCAACCUUGGUGGUACCUUUCUAGUUUCUCUCGUUUUGGAUGAGAGUUAUAGAAUUCGCCAAGUGCUCCAAUCCGGGUCAGCUGGAAUUUAGCCACACAGUUUGAGUUGUGAGGGUACUCAUCUUUCAUUCCUUUUUAUUGAAGAGAAACAAACAAAACCCCUACUGCUGGCAAGUGACUGACGAGUUUUCAUGAUUCUGGCUGAGUCUCUGUAAUAAAUGGUCCACCUGGCACUGGAUUUAGCAGAACAGUCACUGCUGCUUCGGUGCCUUCCUUCCCUAUAAUUAUGCAUUGUAAAAACAACUGCACUCCUUGCUGUUCCCCAUUUCAUUUUUUAUUUUCAGUAUACUUCUCUGUGCAUUUACAUUUCAUAUGGAAGUCAGUGCUUUCAUACUGCUUGUUCAUCUUUGCACUGAAGUUGAAACACGAGUUCCCAACUAGCCCAGACACACACCUGAUUAUCCAGGGCUAGUGUAGUGAAGGUGUGCUCCUGUCUUUGGCUGCUGUCCUACAAGCAGUUUAGUGUGCUGUUAUUUUAGGGCAUCAUAUGUAUAUUGACUUGUUCACAGUCAGUAAAACCAGUCAGUGCCGCCAUUAAUUUCCUUGAGUAUUACAUUCACACCAAAGGCUUUUAUGUCCUGCCUGCAAAAUCCAAUGAAAAUUGCCCAGGGCCAUAUUUAGCAAAUGCUUUUUGAUGACCUAGUGAGCUAACGAUGCUGAAAUAAUAAGCGUGCUUGAUUUUAGUGCUAGUCAUUUCAUAUAUUCUUGUUCACCACGGUCAGUCAUACAUACACAUUUUGCCCAUGACUUAAAACCUGGAUGAGGGUACUGACACUUGUUACCGUAGAGGGCAUGCAUGGCUUUUUGAACAGCAAGCUUUUCCAAAGUAUCAUUUCAAGAUUGAUUGUGCAAUGGUGUUCCUGUAGUAUGUGAAGGCCUGCAUUAAGUACUGAAAAAGAAAGGGUUAAACCGAUCCUUGUUGUGCAGGGUAUGAUACAUCUGUACUUCAUGUCAGUAGUUCUGUGCACUUGUGUAAAAGCUGCGAUAGUGGAUUGUGCAAUUAGAAGAUGGUUCUGGACACUGUUGUAUCGCCCUAGGUGGAGCCUCAUAGGUGCCUCACCUCCUCUGCAUUUGUCUUGCACGCAAGGCCGUAUAGCAUAAAAGAAAUGCUGUGUGAUUACUUGACUCAAGGACUGUUCUGACUACUUUUAAGACACGUGUAGUAUAACCAUAAAUGCAGUUGUUUAACAGCCCAGAGCAGUAUCUGUGCAUGGAGAGACAUCCCUACAAAUUCCAUGAGGUUGAGCAGCAGUUGCAAAUUCAUCAAAAGUUCUGAAAAAAUUUCAGCCAGGUGUCAGUGGAAAUAGCCUUCAGAAGGAUAAAAAGUGUAUUCAAGGUUACAGUGGAUCGAUUGUGGAGCAGAUGAAGUAGAUAUCACAGCCUUUGCAAAGCUUAAGUGGCUUUGGUAAUGCAAAGCACAAUCUAGCAGUUCUGUCAGUAUAAAAGUACUUGCAGCAAGCCUCAAGACAUUGAGUUGUUCCAUCUGGACUGCAGCAUGAAGCUACCAAGAGCAAGCUUCAUGCUGCAGUGCAGGUCGGUGCCAAUUUUUCUUCCACGACAGUUCCUCCACUUAGUGGGCUUUCACAGAACUGAUUUGCCAUAAAGUGGGUAUAUUUAAAGGUUCCUCUGCUCUUGAACAAUACUGAAGGCUUGCUGCUAUUGUACAUUUCAAGUUUGACAAGUGCAGUUUCCAAAAAUCACAUUUGCCAUUGCAGAAAUGUUUUUCAGCCAGGGUUGUUAGAAGAGCUGAGAGAGAAGCUACCAGUAUAUUCUGUGCAGUCAUUACCAGACUGUGAAAAGGAUUAUCAAACAAUAUUGCAAGUGGAAUAGUUGCACGGCCAUGACAUGUGACCAACAAAGUGCUCACAGGCUUGUGUUUGUCACUGCUGCUCUUUCCACUGGAUGAUGAAUUCUGCUUGAACUAAACUUAUCUUUACACAUGUUUCUGCAUUACUGGCUGUGCUUCAUGCGUCCACGUGUGUACAUAAUGCACUGUGUUUUGGAGCAUCCUUUGGACCGGUGUUAUACUGAUGCAUGAAAAAUUUGCAAGCACACGAGCACACCUAGAACAAGGUGCUUGUGAUGUUGCUUACAAUUUAUAUCUGUCAACAAAUGCAGCAGAGGUUUGACAAUAUAUUGCUUGAAAUGAGUCACCCAUUAUUGGCGAUGUCAACUGUAGCUGGCCACGAGUUAUGUUGUUUGCCUCAUGCAUGCUGCUUGUAACUCUCUGUCCAAGCUAUGUAUCUGCGAACAAGCCAUAUUCGCAGCAACAAGUCCUGGAGUGUGCAUGCUCACAAGUUCAUGUAGGACAGUUCCCAUGGGAGGAUAGAGCCUCACUUGUUUUGGUCGUCGGGUAUUUUUGAAUCCAAAGAUAUUGGUGCUUUAGCAAAGCAAGAUAAACAAUGAAGUGACCUUAAUCACUGGGUAUGUUUUCCACCAUUCAUUAUGGUUGCAUGCUAAGUAUGAUCAAAAGGUGUACAGAAAAGCAGUUUGUGAACAUAAUGUUCAGUUCGGUUGUGUGUAUUUCUUGCUGCUGAGAGUAACAUUGAAAUGGCAGUAAAUAACAUUUUCAGUUUUUGUGGCUUUAACCAAGGGAACAAUACCAAUGUGUGAUGUUUUUAAACAAACAAAAAAAUGCCUUCCUGUUUGUGUGGUGUGCAGUGGUGGCUGUGUUUGUAGUCAGUUACUUUAAUACUGCAUAUACAUAUGCUCAAAGGUCUCUUCUGUCUGCUAUUGUUAGCCUUUCAAGGCAUGCAUACUGUGUGCACAAGCAGAAUGUAAAGGAAGGUGGCCAGCCAUAUUUACCAAAGAACAACUAGGCCAUCAUAGUGUGCCAUGAGUCACUAGUGUUUAGUUCUGGAUUGCCCUGAACUGAGGCCAAGAUUUUGCAUUACUAUGAUAUUUAACAUUCCACGCAUUUUGCUAUCACUAAGAGCAUGAACACGUUUCUGAGCUGCCAUGAGCUGCUUCAUGAUCUGCCUGGUGGCACGUUCAACAGCCACGGAUAGAAAGCAUGAAGAGUGAACUGUACUAGAAAAUCACAAAUAAACAUGUUGUACUACUCGUACCAUAUUCUAUCGGCUUGUACAAUUCAGGCUUUUACUGCAACUCUAACACUGGACAAUAACGUUUGAUCAGUGAUUCUUCCACAGCUAAGUAUUAUUAUUUGGUGAGCAUCUUGUACUUGGUGAAAGGAAUUUCACCAAGUUUUCACCUAGUUUUUCACCAGCCUACGACCUAUACACGACACCCCUAAGAUAUAAAAUCCAGUCAGUCUUGCCAUAAAGAGCUAGCUUAUGUGGCUUUGGUCGGUUCAGAAUGAACCAGAACAUUAUUGCAACCACAGAACUGUUUAGUGACGAAAAGUGGUUACACGCUACCACCACACAAGGGAUAAAAGAGCAAAUAAACUGUUUUUUUUAAGCGAUGAAGUUGCUUCUGAAUUUCACACCAUUCAAGAAUAAGUUAAUGCUCAUUCUUCAAGAGAAUACCUGUUAAUGGAAAUGAGAUGGCAAUGGCUCGUAUAUACUGUUCAUGAGGCAUUUGAGAACAUGAACAUAUAUUAGACAUGCUUCUGCCAAAUUUGGUAGUUUUUUUUUUGCAUUGCUUGUAUCAGAUGGUUCAUGUUUACUUUUAACAUUUCUUGCACAAGAGCAGCCUUUGGCAAAGCUUUUAUAUUCCAAGGCUGCUUGUUAGUAUCCCUUCUAGCAUACAGUGCAUGGCAGGAUGCAAAGCAAACGCAUAGGGCUGAUGCCCAAUGGCCUUUUGCGCAGAAAACCUCCUGGUGCUGUUUCGUGGCCAUCAAUGACUUAUCGUUCACUUUCUAAGGUGUUGCACAUGAUAGCCUGCACCCACUGGACAAAGCUAAACCAUUCUAGCAACAUCACGCGGCUUACAGUGCUGCUGAUUAGGAGCUGUGAUCUCUUUUCUGUUUUGAACACAACACAAAGAAUCUUGUCGUGAUGAGCAAGAUGGGGUAUUGUAAUUAUAGCUUUUUGUGGUCAUCUGCUAAGGCGACUAAAACUACACAUCUUUUUAUUCAGUUCCACUGCCUAUACCAAAAUGGAAAAUGCUACUUUGGAACAGAUAUGCUGGACAAAUGAUAUAGGGAUCGAAAAAGAGAGACAAAUUUUUCUGUACAACAUCCCGAAGCUGUAUUCUCAAAUACCUUGCACACCCUAUACAUUCUCGUCCACUAUUUUCAAUCGUUUACCAUCAGCCAGACAGUUUCACUAACUGUAAAGGAUAGACUUUCCUCAUAAAUGCAAAAGGUUUUGUUUUGUUCUUAUGUGGGCUCAUGAUUCGCACUUACAUUUUCCUGUACACUCACCUUGUGAUAAACUAGUUUUAUAAAAUGUUGUCGAAAACAGCAUUGCGAGUUGCGAUGUCAACACCGAGCAAGAGUAAACUAAAUUUGUCCAGUGUGGCAGCCACUCACAGCUUUUUGCCAACUGAAGACUGAUAUCAUGAUAUUCCAUAAAAUUUUCCAAAGAAUUAUUUGCAAAUUAUUUGCAAAUUAAGACCAGUGACUCAUAGGUUUGCAUCGAGGAUGAUCUGUACGAUGAAAUUAAUCAUUUUACACAAGCAGGAAGCAAGAAAGCCCUUUUCAUUCUCCACUAUAAACAAUCAUUCCACGCUGACAGCAAGUUAGUGACAGUCGCACUUCAGUUUCGAAACGUCACCUCCACUCCAGAGAUUUUUUUUGUGUGCGUGUGUGGAAAACCUUCAUGAUAAAACACGUCCCACCGCACAUAGAAUGAUAUAUGGUCACAGCAUGUUUACAAAGGGGCGCAUGACUUGCACUCUAAGCCAUAACAGCUGUACUUGGUAUUUCUUUCUGCUACACAGUAGCAGUCCUCUAUCUCGUAUGCAUUCCUCGUGUUAUCGCUGUGCACCCAGCACUUCCUGGUCACGAACGGCAUGUGGCUGUCAGCAUAACAUAGCACUCUUGAUAGGAAAGUAGCAAGCCCACAGUUUUUGAGAAAUGAAAUGCAAGCAAGCCAGAUGACUAUUGUUCUGUGGCAGAAAGACUCCAAAUACGACCCAUUAGCUUAGAGUUGAUGCAUCAGUGUUGCCAUCUCGUAGCAAUGUCACUCAACAAGCACACACAGUGGCCUGAAUAUCGUAUGUCGCACACCGAUCCUUCAGCACACCCCUAAUGGAUCAGCCAUCGUUCACGGUUUUGGUCAAAUUGAACUGUCUUGAGAAGCCAGAAGUUUUAUAUUAGUUGAAGGUAAUUUGGUGAUAAUUACGAUACGAAGUUAACAAAGUUCUAAAGUAGAGUUUAAAUUAUUGCAAGUCCAUUGUAUUCAAAGGGUGUUUAAUCUGAACGUCAACUCACUCAACCUAUGCUACAUUCCCUUCCUCGCACAGUGUUCCUUCCAGGAGAAACAUGAAUCACUCAUAACAGAGGGCAUAUUCAGUACACUGACUAGACAUAUGUGAUUUAAACAUUCAAAUGCAAAAGGCACGUGGCUUUUUUCCCUAAGCGCAUGGCUAGUGGUAUGUUUGGUAGGUUUCCAGAAUAGGUUUUAUUAUUCAAACUUGUAUCUUAUUGAAAGUAAAGCAAAAGUGAAAAGUGUGCUUUGCAUACCAGGUAUUCCAUGCAGCAUAUUUAUAUAAAAAUGUGACACCGUCAACAUGUUUGAAUGAUUAUUAACAUAUUGCUGUUGUUACAUGUAACACAUGUACCCUACUAGGCUUGCCUAUCAUCGUUUGCAUGAUAUGCAAAAAUGACCUAUUUAAAAGUUUGUUUCAAUGUGAACCUAGAGAAGUUCAGCAACAAACAAGGACCAUACCAUUUCGUAUCAUCUCUCCAGCAUGCCUCCAUAAAAAAAUUCCACAUUUGGUUUUAGAGCUGAAUGCCACACUGCAGCCCACUUUUAAGAGCAUCGAAACUGCACGCCUCACUAGCAACACUGACUCUGCUUCAGGGCAGUCCAGGACAAAAAAGGAGCUUAGACACACUGUGUAUAAAGCAUGCCAAUGGAAGGCACCUGCCUUUCAUUUUAUGAACUGAGCCUGGAAGAACUGUAUGGUCACUAGGUAGUUGGAUCCCAGUGUUCUCUGCUUCACACGAAAAGGUUGUUGCUCCAGUUAGCAUGUGUGUUGUUACAUUCUAUGUUUAGAUCACUUUUGACUGCGUUAUGCCAGACAAUGCAAUUUGAGUGUUGUAAGCCUACGAGAAAGCUUUCGACGUGUGUAUUGCCUAGUGUCAGGGCCAGGAUUGUGGAGCUGUCUUAGAGUUAAAAUCACUCUACGGUAGUUCUGCCCUUAACAGGUUGAAAAUCUGGAAAUAAUGUUGACAAAAAAAGCAAAAAUUAAACUUCUAAUUGCCAAAAGAAUUCCUUCAGUAAAGGAAUUGUAGUUAAAAGCCUAUGAAAUACAAGGUUGCACUCCACAACCCUGGUUAGCAGAUUGGCAUAGGUCUGCAUGCAUAUACUGCACUGACUACUGGUACGUCUUAGGCCAGGCACGUUUUCGUGUGACACAUGUGCCGCCAUCAGGUCAGUCAUUUUAUUCACAAGCUGUGUGUAGAGAAAAAAAAAAAUCCCUAUUUGGAACACUGAUGGUGCUGCAUUGCACAGGUAGCUACGGCUACUUAAAGGGCCCCUUACCAGGUUUGAGGACUGCAAAUUAACAAGCAAUGUGCAUAAAUCAGGUAGUGGGCAGUCGUGUUCGGAAAGUAUGAAAUGGCUCUGUGGCAUGGAAAAACAUAAAAUGUUCGAACAGGAAAGCGUGCACCCAUCUUCUCUAGAACGCUGCGCAUUUAGUCAGAGUCUGUCAAGUCCAUGCAUUGCUUGGAAUUAGCUGACCACACGAUGAGACUUUGGUUUAUCAGCCAAUGUGGAGCACACAACACCGCCACUGCAAAUGCACUGUGAAGCAAAAUAGGCGGGGAACAAGAAGGAGGCAGGGCUCAUCACUGAACUCAUACUCUCUCAACUCUAGCACAGGGAACGAACACAGAGCCGAGGCACAAUGGGAGAGUGUCUCCCUCCUACUGCUGGCAUGGUGCAAAAUAGUUUAAUUUUUUCUGGCAAAACUCUUCCUAGACAGGGCCUUACAAUUUACAGUGUGUAACCAAAAUUUGCAAUGUGGCAUGGUGAGGAGCCCUUUAAGAACCUCUCUCCCUGUGUGCGGGCACACGUGCCAUCAUGUGGUCUGGGGUUUGUGUUGUCCACAUAGAUCUGUGUUGUCUUCUACACUCAAGUUUUACUGUUGCAAAGGGCAAUCCCAAGAUCACCCCAAUGCUAGACUUACCACCAACUGCCCCUUGCCAGUUCAUAAUGAACAUGAUUAGCUUCUCAAACUGCAGUGCGGCAGUUUGGUGUCGCUGCGGGGCAGCUCAUUAGUGCAGGGUUGUGUUGUUGCUGCCCAAAAUUGGCUAGUCCACUGCUUGCACAGCCUUCUAAAACAUUGCACGGUAUGUUCCUGUCAUGGGCACAUAUGUCUAUUUUCUGUAUUCCACAAAAAGUGACAAAACAGUGUGUGAAAUAAAAGCUGGCUUUUAUAUGCACACUUUA